This 301-nucleotide ribosomal RNA is filed under the name uncultured bacterium. Its description in RNAcentral is "partial 16S ribosomal RNA". It matches the Rfam family "Bacterial small subunit ribosomal RNA", at positions 509 to 809 of the family's 1533-position model. The record is from RNAcentral.
CAGCAGCCGCGGGAAUACGGAGGGUGCAAGCGUUAAUCGGAAUUACUGGGCGUAAAGCGCACGCAGGCGGACAGCUUAGUCAGGGGUGAAAGCCCGGGGCUCAACCUCGGAAUUGCCUUUGAUACUGGCUGUCUUGAGUACGGGAGAGGUGAGUGGAACUCCGAGUGUAGAGGUGAAAUUCGUAGAUAUUCGGAAGAACACCAGUGGCGAAGGCGACUCACUGGCCCGUUACUGACGCUGAGGCGCGAAAGCGUGGGGAGCAAACAGGAUUAGAUACCCCAGUAGUCCCUGUCUCUUAUAA